Long non-coding RNA from Manacus vitellinus (golden-collared manakin), 1041 nucleotides. RefSeq lists it as uncharacterized. The record is from RefSeq and is a predicted model, not a curated record. The transcript is spliced from 3 exons. Lineage: Eukaryota; Metazoa; Chordata; Aves; Passeriformes; Pipridae.
CACUUGGCUUGGCUACAGCAUCCUUACAAGUAGCAGGACCUCCUUGCCUGGUGGAAGCAGGAGGGAGUGCUGUCCCACAGGUGUUGUCACAUCUCAGAGGAAUUUCCCACUGGGAUUUCUGCGGCACUUUCAACGGCAAGGGAAGGAACUGAGUCUGAAUUUUGCAUGACAUUGUUGUUGCAAGGUGUCCACAGAUGCCCAGAAGCCAACACGGCCUCCAAAGGAAGCUGGGAACGUUCUGCCAUCCCGGAGAAGACAUGUCUAGGGCUGACCCAGGACUGUAAUCCAGCCCUGCAGUUUAUGUGCAGAGGGCCAUCCCUUUCACACAUGAAGCAUAGCGAGCCCAAACCGGAUCCCCAUUCUCCAUGGAGAUCAGCCUGCAGGGAUGACGAGAGAAGCAGAGUGAGUCCCCAGCCCUCUCCAGAGCAGAACUGCAAAACCACAGGCUUCAGCAAAGCCCUUUGAGCCAGCCCACUUCCCAGCAGAGUGACUGUCCCUUUCUCUACACUCAGGGCUGGAAAUAAUGACAGGAUAUUCUUCCCUGCAGACCUGCCUGACAGAGAGUGAGGAGGGAUCCAGCGUGAAGCCACAAAACUGAUCCUGAGGAAGAAACACAGCUUGCCUCCCGUCCUCCACCCCUGCAGACCCAAGGGGAGGGGCUGUCCGUGGAUGUCCCUUUGGGUCAGAAUCCUGGGCAAGGCAGCAUCCCUGGGUGCUCAGCAGUCUCUUUGAGAGAGGUUUUGUUUAGGUUGGCUGCUGCUGAUCCCAGCCUGUCUUCAGCACACAGAUGCUUUUAGCCUCCUGAGGAGGGGUCUGAGUGGCCAGCAACUGCUGAGGACACUGCCACAAUUCAGCCAUGUCCCUGCUCAGGGCACAGACUGUAAACACAGUAGGGAACCCAGGCCAUAUCCCAGCCCAGCUUGGCUGCCUGGCUUGAGGUCCUCAUCACCCAGAAUUUGGAGCUUGCCUCUUUUUCCAUUACCUCUAAGCAGAAAUGGUGAAUGUUUCGGUAAUGUUUCCUAAAAAUAAAAAUGUCAACAG